GUAGGUGGCAAGCGUUGUCCGGAAUUAUUGGGCGUAAAGCGCGCGCAGGCGGUUCGUUUAAGUCUGAUGUGAAAGCCACGGGCUCAACCGUGGAGGGUCAUUGGAAACUGGAGAACUUGAGUACAGAAGAGGAAAGCGGAAUUCCACGUGUAGCGGUGAAGUGCGUAGAGAUGUGGAGGAACACCAGUGGCGAAGGCGGCUUUCUGGUCUGUAACUGACGCUGAGGCGCGAAAGCGUGGGGAGCAAACAGGAUUAGAUACCCUGGUAGUCCACGCCGUAAACGAUGAGUGCUAAUGUUAGGGGGUUUCCGCCCCUUAGUGCUGCAGCUAACGCAUUAAGCACUCCGCCUGGGGAGUACGGCCGCAAAGGCUG
Molecule: ribosomal RNA, 372 nt
Filed under: uncultured organism
Description: partial 16S ribosomal RNA
Rfam family: Bacterial small subunit ribosomal RNA
Source: RNAcentral